Rhopalosiphum maidis (corn leaf aphid) is the source of this 777-nucleotide RNA transcript. RefSeq lists it as uncharacterized. The transcript is spliced from 6 exons. NCBI's taxonomy places the organism in Eukaryota, Metazoa, Arthropoda, Insecta, Hemiptera, Aphididae. The record is from RefSeq and is a predicted model, not a curated record.
AUUGUUUUCAAAUUUUUGUAAUAAGAAUGAAGUUUGUCCGUUAGUUUUUUUCCAUAUCUGAAUUAAUCAGUGUUGGCCGCGUACUAGUUGUCAUAUAUAAAUUUUAGUACUUCUUAUGAUGACAAUACAGCAGUUUACUCAAGGAAUGGAGACGCAUGGAUUCACUUAUCUCACACGUGGGAAAGUAUCAACAUCCUACAUUAAUGGACUGGAGGAGGUCGAGAAUAUUGCAGGUUUAAUGCAGUCUACGAAUAAUAGUUACUCAAAGUAAUUAAAAUUCAAUUGAUAGAAGUGCAUCAAAAAGAUGGUGUCAUGAAACCCUGACCAUUACAUAAAAAGGCAGUACGGCAGAUCACUCAAGUCACGCUGAUACAUGAAUUCACAUUUCUCACGCGUGGGAUAGUAUCAACAGCCUACGUUGCAAAUGGACUAGAAGAUGCUGAGAAUAAUACGUGUUAUAUGCAAUAUGGCAGUACGGCAGUUCACUUAAGGAAUUCUGACGCAUGGAUUCACUUAUCUCACACGUGGGAAAGUAUCAACAUCCUAUGUUGCAAAUGGACUAGAAGAUGCUGAGAAUAAUACGUGUUAUAUGCAAUAUGGCAGUACGGCAGUUCACUUAAGGAAUUCUGACGCAUGGAUUCACUUAUCUCACACGUGGGAAAGUAUCAACAUCCUAUGUUGCAAAUGGACUAGAAGAUGCUGAGAAUAAUACGUGUUAUAUGCAAUAUGGCACUACAGCAGAUCACACAAGGCAUGCUGAGACAUGGAUUCACAUUU